CAGACAGUAGCUUACCCACUAAAGCACUCGACUUACAAUCAAGAGACGUUUAAAUAAACCUGCCUGA
This 67-nucleotide transfer RNA is filed under the name Pachydactylus punctatus. RNAcentral describes it as "tRNA-Val". It matches the Rfam family "tRNA". Rfam says of the family: Transfer RNA (tRNA) molecules are approximately 80 nucleotides in length. Their secondary structure includes four short double-helical elements and three loops (D, anti-codon, and T loops). The record is from RNAcentral. Lineage: Eukaryota; Metazoa; Chordata; Lepidosauria; Squamata; Gekkonidae.